GAAACGAUCUUCACUUCUGUGCCCUCUGAGGAAACCACCAACCCUCAGGUGACUGAGUUCCCUGUCAAAUCUUCGACUGAUGAGAUUAUCUUGGUGACUAAAGAGAUACCUGAUGGCUAUACAGUCAAUGGGACACCAGUUGAUACCUCUAGCAGUACCCCAGGCACCGUUAAAAACGUGUAUCUCACUACUGUGCCAGUUACACCAAGUACAAAUCCAGUGACAGUAACCACUCCAGCUGGAAAAGACAAACCUGAAGUCUUCCAAAAGAUUGUGGGCACUGUCGACCCAAGUGAUUCUUCUCUUUAUGAAGUUCCCGUCAAUGGUCCAGUAUCAGCCAUUCUUGUGCCAGCAACUGCUAGUGUAACUGAAAUUGUCAUAUGCCAGCACGAAACAACAGGAACGACUACAAG
Molecule: long non-coding RNA, 413 nt
Organism: Haliotis rubra (blacklip abalone)
Lineage: Eukaryota; Metazoa; Mollusca; Gastropoda; Lepetellida; Haliotidae
Exons: 4
Source: RefSeq, a predicted model, not a curated record